UUUGCAACAGAAACAUUUGAUCUUUUUUUUGCAACAGAAACAUUUGAUUUAUCUUUUUUGCAACACAAACGUUUGAUUUAUCUUUUUGGCAACAGAAACAUUUGAUUUGUUAUCUUUUUUUUGUAACAGAAACAUUUGAUUUAUCUUUUUUUUUUUUUUGCAACAGAAACAUUUGAUUUGUAACCAAAGCCUAUUUAAUUGCAUCCGUCUACGCUCCCUGCAGGCGCCAUCGACAGUGGUCACGCAAGUCCGAGUCCCUCCGAGCUGGCCUGACGGAUGCUCCUGGCUGCAAACCCGGGCCGUCGCAGCCUGCCUGGACCCGGGUAAAAACCUCUUGCCAGAGGGGUGGGCGUCCGGCCGUGAGCGCAGGGCCCCGCCGUGGAGACAGAGCCCGCCUGGCUGGCACGUUUUUACAACCAGGUCCCGGUCGAGUCUCACGGCAGGACUCGGGGGCUCAGUGACCACAUGAGCCGUGGGCGCAACUGUAAGUGGAAGUUACCCUGGGUCCUCGGAGGGGCCGGCACGGCCUGGAGAAGGGGGAGCCGCAGGCAGACAGGGAGCACUCUGCAGCCCAAGACCCUGGACCCCGGGAUCUGUGACUCAGCACACAAAAGGGCUGCCAGGUUCCAGCAGGAUGAGGCAUCAGACUGUUUUCCAGCCAUUGGAGAAGCACAGAGUGUGCAAGCAAGAACGGACUUCCCCGAGGCCGACCAGCCCCCGGCCCCGACCCCGACCCCACGCUGAGCUGCCCCUUGUUCUGUGUCCGCGGCUCCCGCGUCCCGGCAUCAGGGCCCCUGCCCAGAUCCUGUGUGUGACUCCACAAAUGCAGCCACGACCUUUUGAGCUGGUGGCAUUCCCCCGAUGGGAUGCUCCCAGGUCCCGGGGGGACGCGUCUCAGAGAUGCUCCCGGGUCCUGGAGGACACAAGCCCGAGCUGUGGGGCUGGCCAGAGUCUUGCUUUAAAAGAUUUACACACAUCUGGAGCUGACCGAGAAAGAACUCGCUGAAGUGAACGCUCCAAGAAGUGGGAGGUCUCUUAUUUACAGCAGAGACAAUUAUGCCUCUUAUUCCUAAUUUGCAUUCGCCCUUUACGGGGGGAAAAAUGGUG
RNAcentral lists this long non-coding RNA (1107 nucleotides) under Equus asinus (donkey). RNAcentral's name for it is "lncRNA (ENSEASG00005025037.1)". Lineage: Eukaryota; Metazoa; Chordata; Mammalia; Perissodactyla; Equidae. The record is from RNAcentral.